AUUGCAGCAUUGCACACAUACCACUGAAAUUGAGCUUAAGAUGCCUGGGUGCUUUUAGUGCUAUUUAAAGGUGCAAAGAGUAUGUGGUUACUAUCUCUUGCAGCUUGAAACUAACCAAGGAUACAUUACCAAGAGACUCAUUUCAACAUAACACAAAAUAUAGUGAGAGAACGGUCUCAUUCAAAAGCUUUAGCUUUGAAUGAGACAAUUAGCACACACUGCAUGUAAAUAUUUUUUUUCUUAUUU
Non-coding RNA from Pelobates cultripes (western spadefoot toad), 246 nucleotides. The record is from the annotation of a GenBank genome assembly. Lineage: Eukaryota; Metazoa; Chordata; Amphibia; Anura; Pelobatidae.